UCCAAAUAGACCCCCGGCAUCCUUCCCUUCAAGAACUUCCCACCUUGCUCUUGGGGAGACUCGAACUCACAACCUCUCGGUUGGAAGUGGGGAUUGCGUACCAUCAUAGCAACCCCUCUUGUCUUAUUCUAGCUGAUAGACCUCCUGAGAAAAAGUUUGAUUGGGUAAGCUUAACUACUCAUUGCAGCUGCACACGGCCACCUAAAUAUGGUUUAACUGGUCGUUGUUUCUUAUAAUGACUUCCUUUAAUUUAUUUUAUUUUUCUUACAUGGAUAUCUUACACUGCUGGCGUCACAGGCUAAGGUAUGAUUUCUUCUUGUAUUAUUGUUGGUUUUGAGAAUGAUUACAAUCAUGUAAACCUAGAAAUCGAUUUGGGCAAGAAAGAAAGAAGAUGAAGAAGACGAGAGGGAGCAGGGAGAAGAAAUGCUUAUCCGGAAACAAAGUUUUUUCCAUUUUUGGGCAUCAAAGACUUUUUAUUUUCCUUCUUUUGUUGCAUUUUUUUGGCUCCAAAACCACAUGUCAUAUUUUAAUUCGACUAGUCGUCAUGUCAGCCAUGAGUCAACUCCAUGCAUUUUGUUUCAUUUACAAUUUGCUAGUUUAGGUGUUCAAUAGGUCGAAUCCUAAGAUAAGAUAAAAAUCGGUGCCAAAUUCAAUGGGACGCCGAUGUAUUUGGCUGCAAAUGUUAAAAGUAAACUACAUGGUGUAGAAAUUUUUGAGGGCAAUAUGAGACAUGGAGUACAUAGUCUCAUUUGAUUUCCCCUAGCCCUCCCCAAAGCUGGAGAUGCUUUUAUGACAUCUUGAAUUGAUGCAUCUUACAUCUCUCACGUGAUUCCCUUCUUUAAAAGUAAUGUGGGGUUUCUUUUGAAUUUAUGAUGGUUUUGAUGGAGAGAUUUUAAGAAUUAGAUCCUAACUUUUAUCUGUCUUCUUUUUUUUUUGCAGAGUUUAUUGGCAAAAUAUGGGUCCUUGAUAUCUGUGGUGUCAUUUUGUAUACCUGGUGGCAUCCCCAUCAAAAUCCAAUGUUGCAAAGGGAAACAAAAAGAAACGCUGAAUGUCGGUUCCACAACUUGGUGUUUAUUCAAGCAAGGAUGCAUAUCAAGUUGUACACCUUCAGUUUUAGUUCUUUCGCAUCGUAGGUUGCCAGUUUAGAUUUACACUGUAAUGUCUGAGGAAUUGAUCAGUAAACUGAAUUGAUUUUCUCCGCAGGUUUGUAGGUUUCAGAUUCACUGUAAGAGAAUGUUGAACAUAGUCUUAGUCCUUAAACAAGUCGCUUGUUUCUUGAGCAACAACGACUCAUUUUUUUAUGGUUUCUUUCAGUGCUUUUUCUUUUUUUAAUGAAGCUGAGGAGAGAAGUUGUCACCUCUCUUUUUUGUCUUCUUGAGCCGAAAGUCUAUUGGAAACAGUCUCUUUGUCCCAUCG
Molecule: long non-coding RNA, 1416 nt
Filed under: Nicotiana benthamiana
Lineage: Eukaryota; Viridiplantae; Streptophyta; Magnoliopsida; Solanales; Solanaceae
Description: long non-coding RNA (NBEN_LNC016610)
Source: RNAcentral